UACAGAGGUGGCAAGCGUUGUUCGGAAUUACUGGGCGUAAAGGGCGCGUAGGUGGCCUUCUUAGUCAGACGUGAAAUCCCCAGGCUUAACCUGGGAACUGCGUCUGAUACUGGAAGGCUCGAGUUCGGGAGAGGGAUGCGGAAUUCCAGGUGUAGCGGUGAAAUGCGUAGAUAUCUGGAGGAACACCGGUGGCGAAGGCGGCAUCCUGGACCGGCAUUGACGCUGAGGUGCGAAAGCGUGGGGAGCAAACAGG
RNAcentral lists this ribosomal RNA (253 nucleotides) under uncultured bacterium. Its description in RNAcentral is "partial 16S ribosomal RNA". It matches the Rfam family "Bacterial small subunit ribosomal RNA", at positions 524 to 776 of the family's 1533-position model. The record is from RNAcentral.